Molecule: non-coding RNA, 552 nt
Organism: Lupinus albus (white lupine)
Lineage: Eukaryota; Viridiplantae; Streptophyta; Magnoliopsida; Fabales; Fabaceae
Source: the annotation of a GenBank genome assembly
GGAUUGAAGGGAGAGGGGUCAGAUUUAGGUUUGUCAUUUUUGGCUUCAGGGCUCUGGGAGAAGAGGGAGAAGAGAAGUGAGAAGUGAGAAGUGAGAAGUGAGAAGUGAGAAGAAGGGGAGGAACGAAAGUGAGAAGGGGGAGGCGAAAAUGAGAAGAUGGAAAUGCUCGUCUCGGCGACACAACAUGGGGAUUCCUCUCUGAGAGAAAGACGACCUCGGUUCGAAAUUCCCCCGUUCCAAUGGUGGUCCAGAAGUUGAUGAUGGAUCAACUUCAUGCUUAGACUCCUUUUCUUUGCCAUGGAAUCCAUGUGGCCCGAAAGCUAGGCGACUCACAGUCUUGACACCCGAUACCAGCAAUAUCGUCAUGGAUUCGGUUUUCAUUUACACGUCCCAAGAAGAGCAUUAUCAACCAUAUUAUUUGUGGAAGUUCCCUGGUUGGGUCUGAGAUUAAAGGGUGGUGCAUUUGAAUGUUUCCUGCAAUACGUUCACCAUCCUCUCUUUACUAGCACGUUGAGUACACAAGAACUCAAAUUGAGAUCAUAAGAUGACAUC